Molecule: ribosomal RNA, 942 nt
Filed under: Triticum aestivum (bread wheat)
Lineage: Eukaryota; Viridiplantae; Streptophyta; Magnoliopsida; Poales; Poaceae
Description: partial small subunit ribosomal RNA
Source: RNAcentral
GAUGGAACACCAACAAAUGAUCCUCAUGAUAGGGCUUACAUUAACCUUCCCAAAAAUCACCACGUCCUUAGAAAAGUUAGGGACUGUCUCCACUAUGGAGCAUUGCGGUUUCAAUACGAGGGAUCUGCAUUUUGUUGCAGAAAGGGGAAAGUAGAUUUAUUUACUCCCGAGGUCCCAGACGAGUUGAAACGGUUGUUCACAAGUCAACGUGAUGACGAUGCUAAACAUUUUCGAGACAAUAUAUGGUAUUUCAACUCUCACUUCUCAUUCACAAGUCUUGGAGUCACCCUUGAUCGUCGAGUAAGCACUGCAGUAGGAACCGGUGUAUAUACCUUUCGUGCUUGUGGGGGGUUGUACCAUGCUCUUGAUGAGCUGGUGCCGACUGAUAAUGGCCCUAGGCAUUUGCAACUCUAUAUUUAUGAUACAGAUCAUAACUUGGUGCACAGGACUAAUAGGUCUCCAGAUCUAGAUAUAGAUCUCAUACGGAAAAUUCUGGGAAUACUAGAGCAGAACCCUUAUGCACGGGCUUUCAAGAGCCUUGGGUCUGUUCCGAAUCUAGAUGAGUACAAGAUCUCACUAAACACAGAUAUCAAGUUGGAUCAACGUAGGUACAAUGCCCCAACGACUUCUCAGGUGGCAGCGAUAUGGGUUGAAGGGAGCGACCCACAAAACUGUUUUGACAGGAGUGUUGUCGUGCAUGCCAAAAAAGGAGACCGACCACUCUAUAUUAGAGCGUACUAUGGGUGCUAUGACCCAUUGUCAUAUCCACUGUUUUUCCCACGUGGGGAGACUGGUUGGAAUCGUUGGAUGCCGUAUGUUCAUGCCCCCGAUGACACCACCCAAUUUCCAGCGCAUAAUUCUGGACCGCAAGAAAACCGCACCUCUGAUUUACAUACAGGUAUGAUGUUCAUUAUUAAUUCGUUAUCUACUUACUAUCUUUAA